UGGGGAAUAUUGGACAAUGGGCGAAAGCCUGAUCCAGCAAUGCCGCGUGAGUGAUGAAGGCCUUAGGGUUGUAAAGCUCUUUUACCCGGGAUGAUAAUGACAGUACCGGGAGAAUAAGCUCCGGCUAACUUCGUGCCAGCAGCCGCGGUAAUACGAGGGGAGCUAGCGUUGUUCGGAAUUACUGGGCGUAAAGCGCGCGUAGGCGGUUUUUAAGUCAGAGGUGAAAGCCCGGGGCUCAACCCCGGAAUAGCCUUUGAAACUGGAAAACUAGAAUCUUGGAGAGGUCAGUGGAAUUCCGAGUGUAGAGGUGAAAUUCGUAGAUAUUCGGAAGAACACCAGUGGCGAAGGCGACUGACUGGACAAGUAUUGACGCUGAGGCGCGAAAAGCGUGGGGAGCAAACAGGAUUAGAUACCCUGGUAGUCCACGCCGUAAACGAUGAUAACUAGCUGUCCGGGCUCAUAGAGCUUGGGUGGCGCAGCUAAACGCAUUAAGUUAUCCGCCUGGGGAGUACGGUCGCAAGAUUAAAAACUUAAAAUGAAUUGACGGGGUCAUAGCUGUUUCCU
This 564-nucleotide ribosomal RNA is filed under the name uncultured bacterium. Its description in RNAcentral is "partial 16S ribosomal RNA". It matches the Rfam family "Bacterial small subunit ribosomal RNA", at positions 355 to 1375 of the family's 1533-position model. The record is from RNAcentral.